This is a long non-coding RNA of Apis dorsata (giant honeybee), 847 nucleotides long. RefSeq lists it as uncharacterized. NCBI's taxonomy places the organism in Eukaryota, Metazoa, Arthropoda, Insecta, Hymenoptera, Apidae. The transcript is spliced from 2 exons. The record is from RefSeq and is a predicted model, not a curated record.
UUUCCCCAAAAACCGGGUAGACCGAGGAAAUAUAUUCGUAAUACGCGUCACCGCAUCACUAUCUCACUUUCCAUAGUGAAAGACCUUUCGAAUAUUUAUGUAACUAAUAGUAAACCGACGUAAGUGUGCAUUUUAAUUAACCGUUAAUGGAACAACUUCAUCGUCUACGGGGAGAGAGAGAGAGAGAAAAAAAAAAAGAAAAAGAAAAAAAUCUCAUUACGUGUAUAAAUAAUCUUUUCGAAUUGUCACUUUCAGAAAAUUUCAACCGUGUCCAAUAACAAACAGGAUGUAUCUACUCAGUGGCGCCGACUAGACACUAGAAUAAGAGCGGGUUCUCAACCAUCGAAGGGACCAUGCUUAGGGCUGUUCUCAAUAUUUAAGAGAAAAGAAACGGUGAUUCGUUCGAAUAUUCGAGAAUUUUGGUGUGGAAGCAGGAUCGAGGAUUUUCCAUGCACGACCUUAGUGCCUGAAAUUGCCGAGUAUUUCUAUCGUUUCAUCCGUGAUGCGAGGAGAUAUGAUUACGCAACACGGCAUAUUAUACGUUGUCCCGCAACACCUCGCAGCUGUGCGUAUGUUAUUCGCGGUAAGGUUAAACUCCAGUGACAUUUUGGACGACUUUCACCCAAGGGGCCGACGUGGAGGCCUGCUUUCUUCGUCGUCUUUUCGUCUCGAGCAGUGGCGGCGGCGACGAGGAUCCAGGGACUGGACUUCCAAUUAAAUCGAUCGAACUCGAGCAUUCGAGAUGAACAAAGAAAAGUAAAAAGUAAAUAUCUAAAUAAGAUGAGGUAUGUGAACGUGUGUGGGUUUUCGAAAAAAGAUUUUAAGAAUGAAUAAACUUUUUCGAAAA